This 497-nucleotide ribosomal RNA is filed under the name uncultured bacterium. RNAcentral describes it as "partial 16S ribosomal RNA". It matches the Rfam family "Bacterial small subunit ribosomal RNA", at positions 28 to 507 of the family's 1533-position model. The record is from RNAcentral.
GACGAACGCUGGCGGCGUGCCUAAUACAUGCAAGUUGAGCGCUGAAGGUUGGUACUUGUACCGACUGGAUGAGCAGCGAACGGGUGAGUAACGCGUGGGGAAUCUGCCUUUGAGCGGGGGACAACAUUUGGAAACGAAUGCUAAUACCGCAUAAAAACUUUAAACACAAGUUUUAAGUUUGAAAGAUGCAAUUGCAUCACUCAAAGAUGAUCCCGCGUUGUAUUAGCUAGUUGGUGAGGUAAAGGCUCACCAAGGCGAUGAUACAUAGCCAACCUGAGAGGGUGAUCGGCCACAUUGGGACUGAGACACGGCCCAAACUCCUACGGGAGGCAGCAGUAGGGAAUCUUCGGCAAUGGACGAAAGUCUGACCGAGCAACGCCGCGUGAGUGAAGAAGGUUUUCGGAUCGUAAAACUCUGUUGGUAGAGAAGAACGUUGGUGAGAGUGGAAAGCUCAUCAAGUGACGGUAACUACCCAGAAAGGGACGGCUAACUACGUG